RNAcentral lists this ribosomal RNA (424 nucleotides) under uncultured bacterium. Its description in RNAcentral is "bacterial SSU rRNA". It matches the Rfam family "Bacterial small subunit ribosomal RNA", at positions 355 to 776 of the family's 1533-position model. The record is from RNAcentral.
UGAGGAAUAUUGGUCAAUGGACGGAAGUCUGAACCAGCCAUGCCGCGUGAAGGAAGACUGCCCUAUGGGUUGUAAACUUCUUUUAUACGGGGAUAAACCUAUCUUUGCGAAGAUAGCUGAAGGUACCGUAUGAAUAAGCAUCGGCUAACUCCGUGCCAGCAGCCGCGGUAAUACGGAGGAUGCGAGCGUUAUCCGGAUUUAUUGGGUUUAAAGGGUGCGUAGGCGGACAAAUAAGUCAGUGGUGAAAUCACUCAGCUUAACUGAGUAACUGCCAUUGAUACUGUUAGUCUAGAAUGUAAAUGGAGUAGGCGGAAUGAAUCAUGUAGAGGUGACAUUCAUAGAUAUGAUUCAGAACACCGAUCGCGAAGGCAGCUUGCUAAGAUACAAUUGACGCUGAUGCACGAAAGCGUGGGUAGCAAACAGG